GAUGAACGCUAGCGGCGGGCCUAAUACAUGCAAGUCGAACGGAUAUAUUGAUUUCGGUUGAUAUAUUAGUGGCGCACGGGUGAGUAACGCGUACACAACGUGCCUAUUACUGGGGAAUAGCCUUGGGAAACUGAGCGUAAUACCCCAUGGUAUUAUAAAGUGGCAUCACUUAAUAAUUAAAGCUACGGCGGUAAUAGAUCGGUGUGCGUCUGAUUAGCUAGUUGGUGAGGUAACGGCUCACCAAGGCGACGAUCAGUAGGGGGCGUGAGAGCGUGAUCCCCCACACGGGUACUGAGACACGGACCCGACUCCUACGGGAGGCAGCAGUAAGGAAUAUUGGUCAAUGGAGGGAACUCUGAACCAGCCACGCCGCGUGGAGGAUGAAGGCCCUAUGGGUUGUAAACUUCUUUAGUCUGGGGCGAAAAAGGGUCAUUUAUGAUCAACUGACGGUACCAGAAGGAUAAGCACCGGCUAACUCCGUGCCAGCAGCCGCCGUAAUAC
Molecule: ribosomal RNA, 501 nt
Filed under: uncultured bacterium
Lineage: Bacteria
Description: bacterial SSU rRNA
Rfam family: Bacterial small subunit ribosomal RNA
Source: RNAcentral